This 422-nucleotide ribosomal RNA is filed under the name uncultured Sediminibacterium sp. RNAcentral describes it as "partial 16S ribosomal RNA". It matches the Rfam family "Bacterial small subunit ribosomal RNA", at positions 355 to 774 of the family's 1533-position model. The record is from RNAcentral. Lineage: Bacteria; Pseudomonadati; Bacteroidota; Chitinophagia; Chitinophagales; Chitinophagaceae.
UAAGGAAUAUUGGUCAAUGGACGCAAGUCUGAACCAGCCAUGCCGCGUGAAGGAUUAAGGUCCUCUGGAUUGUAAACUUCUUUUAUUUGGGACGAAAAAGGGCCUUUCUAGGCCAACUGACGGUACCAGAUGAAUAAGCACCGGCUAACUCCGUGCCAGCAGCCGCGGUAAUACGGAGGGUGCAAGCGUUAUCCGGAUUCACUGGGUUUAAAGGGUGCGUAGGCGGGUAGGUAAGUCAGUGGUGAAAUCCUGGAGCUCAACUCCAGAACUGCCAUUGAUACUAUUUAUCUUGAAUAUUGUGGAGGUAAGCGGAAUAUGUCAUGUAGCGGUGAAAUGCUUAGAUAUGACAUAGAACACCUAUUGCGAAGGCAGCUUACUACGCAUAUAUUGACGCUGAGGCACGAAAGCGUGGGGAUCAAACA